This 485-nucleotide ribosomal RNA is filed under the name uncultured bacterium. Its description in RNAcentral is "bacterial SSU rRNA". It matches the Rfam family "Bacterial small subunit ribosomal RNA", at positions 28 to 509 of the family's 1533-position model. The record is from RNAcentral.
GAUGAACGCUAGCGGCAGGCCUAAUACAUGCAAGUCGAGGGGCAGCACGGGUAGCAAUACCUGGUGGCGACCGGCGCACGUGUGCGUAACACGUAUACAAUCUGCCUUUAACAGGGGGAUAGCUCGGAGAAAUCCGGAUUAAUACCCCAUAAUAUAUUGAGUGGCAUCACUUGAUAUUGAAAGCUCCGGCGGUUAAAGAUGAGUAUGCGCCUGAUUAGUUAGUUGGUGAGGUAACGGCUCACCAAGACGACGAUCAGUAGGGGAUCUGAGAGGACUACCCCCCACACGGAUACUGAGACACGGAUCCGACUCCUACGGGAGGCAGCAGUAAGGAAUAUUGGACAAUGCCCGCAAGGGUGAUCCAGCCAUGCCGCGUGCAGGAAGACGGCCCUAUGGGUUGUAAACUGCUUUUACACCGGAGAAAACCCCUUCUCGUGAGAAGGGCUGAUAGUAUGGUGAGAAUAAGCAUCGGCUAACUUCGUGCC